GGGGGAGGGGGGGUGUCCCUUAGCCUGGAUUGCGAGACGGGGCAGGCCAGGCCACGGGACCCCACCAGUGCACA
This 74-nucleotide microRNA precursor is filed under the name Myotis davidii. RNAcentral's name for it is "mir-9193 microRNA precursor family". It matches the Rfam family "mir-9193 microRNA precursor family". Lineage: Eukaryota; Metazoa; Chordata; Mammalia; Chiroptera; Vespertilionidae. The record is from Rfam by way of RNAcentral.